RNAcentral lists this ribosomal RNA (494 nucleotides) under uncultured bacterium. Its description in RNAcentral is "partial 16S ribosomal RNA". It matches the Rfam family "Bacterial small subunit ribosomal RNA", at positions 28 to 507 of the family's 1533-position model. The record is from RNAcentral.
GACGAACGCUGGCGGCGCGCUUAACACAUGCAAGUCGAACGGAAAGGCCUGCUUUCCCUUGUGGAUUGCGGGUACUCGAGUGGCGAACGGGUGAGUAACACGUGAGUGAUCUGCCCCCAACUUGGGUAUAAGCCUGGGAAACUGGGUCUAAUUCCCGAUAGGACUGCAGGGUGGUGCCUGUGGUGGAAAACGAUCUUCUAGUGGUUGGGGAUGAGCUCGCGGCCUAUCAGCUUGUUGGUGGGGUAAUGGCCUACCAAGGCGGCGACGGGUAGCCGGCCUGAGAGGGUGGACGGCCACAUUGGGACUGAGAUACGGCCCAGACUCCUACGGGAGGCAGCAGUGGGGAAUAUUGCACCAUGGGCGGAAGCCUGAUGCAGCGACGCCGCGUGGGGGAUGACGGCCUUCGGGUUGUAAACUCCUUUCGACCGCGAGGAAGCCACCUGGUUGGAAGGGUGGUGACGGUAGUGGUAGAAGAAGCACCGGCUAACUACGUG